This is a long non-coding RNA of Phalaenopsis equestris, 448 nucleotides long. RefSeq lists it as uncharacterized. The record is from RefSeq and is a predicted model, not a curated record. NCBI's taxonomy places the organism in Eukaryota, Viridiplantae, Streptophyta, Magnoliopsida, Asparagales, Orchidaceae. The transcript is spliced from 3 exons.
ACAACAUUAUAUACAUUAUUGAAAUAAUGUAGUGGUUCCUUGAUCAUCCAAGUUUCCUCUCAAAUCCUUUCUACAUGGGCGGUAAUUCGUAUGGUGGGAAGAUAACUGUGCUAACUGCACAUAAAGUUGUUGAAGGAAAUGAAGGUGGUGAGAAGCCUCUAAUCAAUAUCAAGGGUUAUCUAGUUGGUAAUGUUGUAACAGGUGAUAAAGUUGAUACAAGCUUUCAAGCUCCACAUGCUUAUGGAUUGGGGAUUAUUUCUAAAGAGCUCUAUAAGGUGCUUCCUUAUUCUAUUUAAGGCUCGUUUAAUUGAUUGAAAUUAUUAAACAUAUUUUAAAAGUUGUUAAGUUUUGCUAAAUAUAUCAUUUUGUUAGACAUAAUUAGAAAUCAUUUCAGACUUUGAAAACCUCCUCAAAAUUUCCUUAAACAUAAUAAUUUUAUUUUUACAUG